This 403-nucleotide ribosomal RNA is filed under the name uncultured bacterium. RNAcentral describes it as "bacterial SSU rRNA". It matches the Rfam family "Bacterial small subunit ribosomal RNA", at positions 355 to 775 of the family's 1533-position model. The record is from RNAcentral.
UAGGGAAUAUUAGUAAUGGGCGAAAGCCUGAACUAGCAACGCCGCGUGCGCGAAGAAGGCCUUCGGGUUGUAAAGCACUUUUUGAGAGGAUGAGGAAGGACGGUACUCUCAGAAUAAGUCUCGGCUAACUACGUGCCAGCAGCCGCGGUAACACGUAGGAGGCGAACGUUAUCCGGAUUUACUGGGCGUAAAGCGCGUGUAGGUGGUUUGGUAAGUAGGGCGUGAAAGCUCCUGGCUCAACUGGGAGAGGCCGUUCUAAACUGCCGAACUAGAGGAUGGUAGAUGGAGGUGGAAUUCCGGGCGUAGCGGUGGAAUGCGCAGAUAUCCGGAGGGACACCAGUGGCGAAAGCGGCCUCCUGGACCACUCCUGACACUCAGACGCGAAAGCUAGGGUAGCAAACGG